GGCUCAGAACGAACGCUGGCGGCGUGCUUAACACAUGCAAGUCGAACGCGAAAGCAUCUCUUCGGAGAAGCGAGUAGAGUGGCGCACGGGUGAGUAACGCGUAGAUAAUCUACCCCUAUACCUGGGAUAACCACUCGAAAGGGUGGCUAAUACCGGAUACGCUUGUUUUAUCGCGAGGUAGAAUGAGUAAAGGUGACCUCUCGGCGAAGUUGCCGUAUAGGGAUGAGUCUGCGUACCAUUAGCUAGUAGGUGGGGUAAAAGCCUACCUAGGCUCCGAUGGUUAGCGGGUCUGAGAGGAUGAUCCGUCACACUGGAACUGGAACACGGACCAGACUCCUACGGGAGGCAGCAGUGAGGAAUAUUGCGCAAUGGGGGCAACCCUGACGCAGCGACGCCGCGUGAGUGAAGAAGGCCUUCGGGUUGUAAAGCUCUGUCAGGUGGGAAGAAGUGCAUAAUGGUUAAUAGCCAUAAUGUUUGACGAUACCGCCAAAGGAAGCACCGGCUAAAUCCGUGCCAGCGGCCGCGGUAAUACGGAUGGUGCGAGCGUUGUUCGGAAUCACUGGGCGUAAAGGGCGCGUAGGCGGCUUGAUAAGUUGGAUGUGAAAGCCCACGGCUUAACCGUGGAAGUGCAUCUAAAACUGUCUGGCUUGAGUAUCGGAGAGGAAAGUGGAAUUCCCGGUGUAGAGGUGAAAUUCGUAGAGAUCGGGAGGAAUACCGGUGGCGAAGGCGACUUUCUGGACGAA
RNAcentral lists this ribosomal RNA (743 nucleotides) under uncultured delta proteobacterium. RNAcentral's name for it is "bacterial SSU rRNA". It matches the Rfam family "Bacterial small subunit ribosomal RNA", at positions 21 to 737 of the family's 1533-position model. The record is from RNAcentral. Lineage: Bacteria; Deltaproteobacteria.